Molecule: long non-coding RNA, 1059 nt
Organism: Mobula hypostoma (lesser devil ray)
Lineage: Eukaryota; Metazoa; Chordata; Chondrichthyes; Myliobatiformes; Myliobatidae
Exons: 3
Source: RefSeq, a predicted model, not a curated record
AUGUGGGUAGGGAAGGUAAAGAGCUGGAGAAGAAGGAACCUGAGAGGAGAGGAGAGUGAACCACAGGUCGAAGGGAAGGAGAAGGGGACCCAGGCAGAUGAGAAGAGGUAAAAGGUCAGAGUGGGAAAUAAGAGUAAGAAGGGAGGGGGGUAGUUUCUUUUUUACCCAAAGAGAGAUUGAUAUUCAUGCAUCAGGUUGGAGGCUACCCAGAUUUAAUACAAGGUGUUGCUCCUCCUCCCUGAGGGUGGCCUCAUCUCAGCACAAGAGGCCAUAGACUAACUUGUGAAUGGAAAUUGGAAUUAAAAUGUUUCGCUACUUUUGGUGGAUGGUGAGGGGGUGCUUGACGAAUGUACCUUUUGCGACAGACAGAACGAAGAUGCUCAGUGUGACUGAAGAAACUGAAGGGUCUCAUCCAAAACUGGUCCUUUCCAUUCACCGAUGCCACCUGACCUGCAUCUCGGUUAGGGAGAGAGAGUGUGAUUGGACUAUCUCCCUGACUUCAUUCUCCAAUAAUUCCUAACCAAAUGGUUCACUAACUUGCUGUUCAAGAAAGUUAUCUCUGAUGUAUUCUCUGAAGUCCUCCUCAAGAUUACUAAGGCGAACUUGAUUCACUCAAUCUGUUGGUUGUCAGUCAUAUCCAGGAGACCUGUGCUGGGGCCGUGGACAAUUCUGAUUUGAUGGAGAAGGGACGUGAAAGCACAGAGGAACAUCUGGAGAAAUUUCUGAAACGCCCGUCCACUGAUGUCGUUACUGUGCGGUUGGGAAUCUUUUGGAGGGUCGGCCUCAAAAUCCCCAGCCUUGCCUGCUUUUGGCAACUGAGAAGGAGGUCGAGUCGUUCGGACAGAGAUGGCGCUCAGUACUCGGUGUCGGAGAGCUGAUCAGAGCUUGAAGUUUUCGGAUAACUCAGAGUCGGAUUGUGGUCGGCAUGGCAGGGAGAGUUUUUCUUCCUUCUCCCGUCUGCGUGGGACGUGGGACAUUUGAGAAACUUUGAACUUUACUGUGCUCACGGACUUCUUCAUCAAGUUAUGGUAUCGUGCACUGUUGUAACUAUAUGUUAUA